CGAAAGCCUGAUGCAGCGACGCCGCGUGAGGGAUGACGGCCUUCGGGUUGUAAACCUCUUUCAGCAGGGAGGAAGCGAAAGUGACGGUACCUGCAGAAGAAGCGCCGGCUAACUACGUGCCAGCAGCCGCGGUAAUACGUAGGGCGCGAGCGUUGUCCGGAAUUAUUGGGCGUAAAGAGCUCGUAGGCGGCUUGUCACGUCGGUUGUGAAAGCCCGGGGCUUAACCCCGGGUCUGCAGUCGAUACGGGCAGGCUAGAGUUCGGUAGGGGAGAUCGGAAUUCCUGGUGUAGCGGUGAAAUGCGCAGAUAUCAGGAGGAACACCGGUGGCGAAGGCGGAUCUCUGGGCCGAUACUGACGCUGAGGAGCGAAAGCGUGGGGAGCGAACAGGAUUAGAUACCCUGGUAGUCCACGCCGUAAACGGUGGGCACUAGGUGUGGGCGACAUUCCACGUCGUCCGUGCCGCAGCUAACGCAUUAAGUGCCCCGCCUGGGGAGUACGGCCGCAAGGCUA
This 510-nucleotide ribosomal RNA is filed under the name uncultured Actinomycetes bacterium. Its description in RNAcentral is "bacterial SSU rRNA". It matches the Rfam family "Bacterial small subunit ribosomal RNA", at positions 376 to 896 of the family's 1533-position model. Lineage: Bacteria; Bacillati; Actinomycetota; Actinomycetes. The record is from RNAcentral.